UUCCUUUUUCUUGUGCACAGACUUGUCUUCUUCAUUGGCACUUUCUUCUGAACUUAUAUCAAUAACUUCCACCGGCUUUGGUUUUGCAGUGACUUUCUUCUGAGCAGGUUUUGUGGCCACUCUUCUAGCCACUGCAACUCCAUCAAGAACAGGAGGAGCAGGUUUUGCAGGAGCCACAGGUCUUGCAGGAGCCACAGGUCUUGCAGGAGCCACAUUAGCACAAGCCUGUUUCUUCAAUUUCAAAACACAAAUUCCAAUCUCAGAAAAAACAAUCAAUAUCAUCACUAACCUACCAAUGAAACAUCAAUUCAAAUAAAUAAUCAAACAAAGAUGAAUACAAAUAAUAUAAGAGAACCUUGUUGUUUUCAUUAACAGCUGCUGCUUGAGCAUUGGCAAGUAGUUGAGCACAGAAACUCCUAAAAGAAUAAUCAAAAUCAAUAAAAGGGAAUCACAGAGAAAGACAAAGAGAGGGAGAAAGAAAGAAAGAAAGAAAGAGAAAAAAAACCUUGUGAUUGGGCGAUUUGGCUUGACUUCAACUCCUCUUAGAGUGACAACAUUUCCAAUAUCACGUAGUGCUCCACGGUUCCUUCCAUCGCCGCCGGCUACACCGUUCUUCUUCUGAUGCUGUUUUCCUCCCCCCAGGGCAGCAUCACCUAUUACAUUUCAAAAACCAAACAAACCCAUUAAAAAAUGUUAUGUAGAUUUAGAUCAAAUCACUGAAAAAAGGUUAUAUAGAUUUCAAUCCAAAUCAUGUCAAAAAAGGUUAUUGGUUUCGACCCAACAUAGCAUCGGAAAAAUAAAAAGACCCUUUUGGUAGAUUUGGGACGAAACUCAUAAAAAUCGAAACUAAUUUGUGACCAAAACAGAUUUUCAAAAUCCCAGACAAGAUUUUUCAUUUGGGCUUCUUGCAAAAUCUCAGAUUUGCAAGAUUUUUCAUUCAGUUAUAAAUAAAAUACAUGAAAAAUAAACCAACCCAGAUACUAUUGAAUUUGUACCAAAAAUUCCAAUCACUGAACACAAAAAUUGAACCCCAGAAAGAAUCGAUGAAUCAUAUAAAAAAUGAACAACACAAUCGAAAUCAGAUCGACGAUAAUUGAAGAAAACAACCUCUGGGUUGUUGUUGUUGAGGAACAAUGGGUCUUGAAGCCAUUUCGAAAUCACAAUCACACUGUUCUCACCCUCACUCGCUCGCUCUCUCUCUCGGAUUGUAAAAUGAAUAGGAAUGAAAAAUGUGAAUGCGAUGUUACAAUGAAAAAACACUCUCUUAUGAAGCUGAUGGAGGCGACGUUUCUACCCUCAACGGUCAAAUUUUUAACUACUUUUUAACCGUUAGAUUGUUUUUACGUUGAUCCGACGACAGAGCGUGUCUCUCCGACAAAAAUAUAGCCGUUGGCGAUGUUUCGAAAGAAAGGCAAGUUGCAUUCUUCCCACUUUUGGAUAAUUUAUUUUUUAAUAUUGAUAUUUUUGUAAUUAAUUAAUUAUUUAGAUUUAAUUUUAUAUAAACUUUUAGUCAAAAAAAUAUUAUUAUAUACACAGUUAAUGUAAGAAUUUUUUAUAUUAUUAGUUAAUUGUGAUAAUCACAUCAUUAAAAAUCGUUUGAUUAUUAUAAUUAUAAUAAUAAUAAUUACUUUUUAAAGUUAUAUGUAUGAAUAUAAUUGUAAUUUUUCUAAGACGGUAAAUUUAGUUACAUCGUAAUCGUAAGUGUAUGAAAAUUAAUAUUCUUUUUAUCUAUAUCGGUAUAUUAUAUAUCUUUGAAAUUUAAUUUAUAUAUAUCAUUCGCGUAAAAGUUUUUUUAUGUUAUAAUAAAUCAUAACAAUUAAAUAAUUGAAAAAAUUAAACUUUUAUAUAAUUAUUUUUAAAGUCAUAUAUAUAUAUAUAUAUAUAUAUAUAUAUAUAUUUUUAUAAUUAAAUUUUUUUACUCAAACAGCUACCUUGCUUCUAGCUGUGAGAACAGAAGUGAGAGUGCGUGAUUUCUUCUUGGAAUUGACAUCUACUUCCUUUUUCUUGUGCACAGACUUGUCUUCUUCAUUGGCACUUUCUUCUGAACUUAUAUCAAUAACUUCCACCGGCUUUGGUUUUGCAGUGACUUUCUUCUGAGCAGGUUUUGUGGCCACUCUUCUAGCCACUGCAACUCCAUCAAGAACAGGAGGAGCAGGUUUUGCAGGAGCCACAGGUCUUGCAGGAGCCACAUUAGCACAAGCCUGUUUCUUCAAUUUCAAAACACAAAUUCCAAUCUCAGAAAAAACAAUCAAUAUCAUCACUAACCUACCAAUGAAACAUCAAUUCAAAUAAAUAAUCAAACAAAGAUGAAUACAAAUAAUAUAAGAGAACCUUG
RNAcentral lists this long non-coding RNA (2335 nucleotides) under Cicer arietinum (chickpea). RNAcentral's name for it is "long non-coding RNA (CARI_LNC000799)". Lineage: Eukaryota; Viridiplantae; Streptophyta; Magnoliopsida; Fabales; Fabaceae. The record is from RNAcentral.